This 551-nucleotide ribosomal RNA is filed under the name uncultured Acaulospora. Its description in RNAcentral is "SSU rRNA". It matches the Rfam family "Eukaryotic small subunit ribosomal RNA", at positions 548 to 1098 of the family's 1831-position model. The record is from RNAcentral. Lineage: Eukaryota; Fungi; Glomeromycota; Glomeromycetes; Diversisporales; Acaulosporaceae.
UUGGAGGGCAAGUCUGGUGCCAGCAGCCGCGGUGAUUCCAGCUCCAAUAGCGUAUAUUAAAGUUGUUGCAGUUAAAAAGCUCGUAGUUGAAUUUCGGAGUUUGUCGGUUGGUCGGGCUUCACUGUCCGCACUGACCUGAUGGAUUCCUACCUUCUGAAUAACCAGCAUGCUAUUAAGUUAGUGCGUUGGGGAAGCAGAGCUAUUACCUUGAAAAAAUUAGAGUGCUUAAAGCAGGCUUAUGCUUGAAUAGAUUAGCAUGGAAUAAUAAAAUAGGACGGCAUGGUUCUAUUUUGUUGGUUUCUAGGAUCACCGUAAUGAUUAAUAGGGAUAGUUGGGGGCAUUAGUAUUCAAUUGUCAGAGGUGAAAUUCUUGGAUUUAUUGAAGACUAACUUCUGCGAAAGCAUUUGCCAAGGAUGUUUUCAUUAAUCAAGAACGAAAGUUAGGGGAUCGAAGACGAUCAGAUACCGUCGUAGUCUUAAUCAUAAACUAUGCCGACUAGGGAUCGGACGAUGUUAAUUUUUUAAUGACUCGUUCGGCGCCUUACGGGAAAC